AGGUGCCCGUACCGCAAACCGACACAGGUAGGUAGGAAGAAGAUUCUAAGGCCAACGGGAGAAGGGUUGUUAAGGAACUCGGCAAAUUGACCCCGUAACUUCGGGAGAAGGGGUGCUCCAGAGAUGGAGCCGCAGAGAAUCGGCCCAAGCAACUGUUUACCAAAAACACAGGUUUGUGCUAAAUCGAAAGAUGACGUAUACGAGCUGACGCCUGCCCGGUGCUGGAAGGUUAAGAGGAGAUGUGCAAGCAUUGAAUCGAAGCCCCAGUGAACGGCGGCCGUAACUAUAACGGUCCUAAGGUAGCGAAAUUCCUUGUCAGGUAAGUUCUGACCCGCAUGAAAGGCGUAAUGAUUUGGGCACUGUCUCAACAGCCCGCCCGGCGAAAUUGUAGUACCGGUGAAGAUGCCGGUUACCCGCGACAAGACGGAAAGACCCCAUGGAGCUUUACUGUAGCCUAAUAUUGGGUUUCGAUGUUGCAUGCACAGGAUAGAUGGGACACAGGGAAACAAUCGCUUUGGCGGUUGCGGAGUGGCCGUUGGGAUACCAUCCUUGCGAUAUUGGAAUUCUAACCUGCGGCUCUGAAUCGAGUCGGGGGACAUUGUUAGGUGGGCAGUUUGACUGGGGCGGUCGCCUCCUAAAAAGUAACGGAGGCGUUCAAAGGUUCGCUCAGCUUGAACGGAAAUCAAGCAAAAGAGUGCAAACGCAGAAGCGAGCCUAACUGCGAGACUGACGGGUCGAGCAGUAACGAAAGUUGGAGUUAGUGAUCCGGUGGUAUGUGAGUGGAAAUGCCAUCGCUCAACGGAUAAAAGUUACCCUGGGGAUAACAGGCUGAUCUCCCCCAAGAGUCCACAUCGACGGGGAGGUUUGGCACCUCGAUGUCGGCUCAUCGCAUCCUGGGGCUGUAUUCGGUCCCAAGGGUUUGGCUGUUCGCCAAUUAAAGCGGUACGCGAGCUGGGUUCAGAACGUCGUGAGACAGUUCGGUCCCUAUCUGUCGUGGGCGCAGGAUAUUUGAUGGGAGCUGUCCCUAGUACGAGAGGACCGGGACGGACGUACCUCUGGCGCACCAGUUGUUCCGCCAGGAGCAUAGCUGGGCAACUACGUACGGAUCGGAUAAACGCUGAAAGCAUCUAAGCGUGAAGCCGACCCAAAGAUAAGAUAUCCCAUUGUUUCAAACAAGUAAGACCCCUUGAAGACUACAAGGUUGAUAGGCACGAUGUGUAAGUGGAGCGAUCCAUUCAGCAAGCGUGUACUAAUAGGUCGAGGGCUUGACCAC
This 1273-nucleotide ribosomal RNA is filed under the name human gut metagenome. RNAcentral describes it as "bacterial LSU rRNA". It matches the Rfam family "Bacterial large subunit ribosomal RNA", at positions 1636 to 2925 of the family's 2925-position model. The record is from RNAcentral.